UACGUAGGGGGCGAGCGUUGUCCGGAUUUAUUGGGCGUAAAGAGCUCGUAGGCGGCUUAGCAAGUCAGGUGUGAAAACUCCAGGCUCAACCUGGAGACGCCACUUGAGACUGCUAUGGCUAGAGUCCGGUAGGGGACCACGGAAUUCCUGGUGUAGCGGUGAAAUGCGCAGAUAUCAGGAGGAACACCAGUGGCGAAGGCGGUGGUCUGGGCCGGAACUGACGCUGAGGAGCGAAAGCGUGGGUAGCAAACAGG
Molecule: ribosomal RNA, 254 nt
Filed under: uncultured bacterium
Lineage: Bacteria
Also listed under: 1 other name
Description: partial 16S ribosomal RNA
Rfam family: Bacterial small subunit ribosomal RNA
Source: RNAcentral